Long non-coding RNA from Alligator mississippiensis (American alligator), 1732 nucleotides. RefSeq lists it as uncharacterized. NCBI's taxonomy places the organism in Eukaryota, Metazoa, Chordata, Crocodylia, Alligatoridae. The record is from RefSeq and is a predicted model, not a curated record. The transcript has 3 exons.
CAUCAUCUGCAUUUUGUUUUACUGAAGGAUAGAGAAGGAAUUGGAGAUUGGGGGUUGGUGGGGGAGAGGUUUUGAACUGUGUUUUAGUGCUUACAAUUUUUGUUUUUUGCUGUAUUUCACAUGUAUAUGUUUGUCUGAACAUGUGUUCAUGUUUUCUUGUGCUUUGGGGAGUUACUGCAUGAUGAGAUCUGGUCCUGCUGGGUGCCAGCACCUGGAUGGUAGACAUUUUCCAAGAUGCCUGGGUCUGGAGUCAGGUCUCUUCCACAAAUUGCUUCUGAAGGCUUCCUGUAUCUUUGUAUUAGGCUUUUCAACCCCAAAGGCUUCCAAACGCUUGACCAAUACAGAGACGCACAGAACUACAAUCACCUCUGGGGAGAAGGCCCAGCAGAUGCUAUAUGGCCCAAGAGAUUCUUGAGAAGAAAGGGAGGUUCUGGUGAGAACAUGCUUCUUAGUGACAAGCAAGGGGUUUUUAGUGUCCACACUGAGCAGGUGUAGUUACCCUGAAGCAGGGAGAGUGACACAGCAAGACGUUCUCUGUAGUGUUUUGCUGAGAGCAAGAAAUGCCUCAUAAUUCACUGUCCACCCUCCUGAAGGGAAGAGCUGAGAUUAAAUGAAGACAUUAUACAUUAUGAGACUUUCAGCCUGGGGUCAGCAUUAAAACAUGGUCCAACUCAGCAAGAAGGUAACAUUUGUGUCUGAUGCCUGUUACGUAGCCUAUCUGGAAUGAGUUUGGUGGGUCUCAGACUCUUGGUGGACCAAUGUGUACUACCCUACUGCAGACUUGGAUUAGCUGUGGUGACUGACGUGCCUGAUAAUAUAUGUUUGUAUUAUGAUAUUGGCACCUGUCUGCAUAGACUGUGCUCCUGCAAACAUAUCAGUAGAAAUUCUGAGAUAGGCUUCACUAUAGUGGUCUGUGGUUGCUAGUUCUCAGUGGCAGAAAUUGUGAGAGGUCCAAUUUAUAUCAGCUGAGGAUCUGCCCUAGGAUGCCUUUCUUUUAGGCUUGUGGUAAGGCUGGAUCCCCAAAUGCGGAUACUCCUUAGCAAAGGUGGCCCAUGAAAUGAGUCUGAUCCCUGCUGGGGAAGUUCCUGGUCAACCAGAUCUGCCAGGCUAGCUGGCCAUGUUAUGCACAUCCUUAUGGGUCACUGAUUUUAAAAGCAAACUGAUGAACCUAAUGGCACUAAAGCAAGUUGUGUGAUGGAUUGGAAAAGCCAGUCAUGUGUUGGAUUGAUCUCAACAGUGGACAUGGCCUCAGGCUGCAAAACUUGAGUCUCGACUUCCAUCUUCCCCUCCCCCUGCCAGCGUAACAGUCAUCAACAUUUGGCUGGGGGGUGAGGGUCCUUAGGUCUGUUGUUACAGGACUGGGAAGGAUAACAGGAGUUUCAAGGGUCACUCAUCUUCAUAUGGUUUAGAUGCUCUUCAUAUGGUUUAGAUGCUCCCUCCAUGGUUUAGAUGGGAGUGACUUGUAAACCUAGCAGCUGGAUUUGGCUUUAGAUUUUGAACACCUUGGUCUCAGAAUGAGGGGCUGGGGAGUCUAAAUUCAGGAGUUAUGCCAAAGGGUUAGUGGGGUGGAAAACCAUUAGCUGGGCAGGCCUGAUGUGAAGUCAAGGGCCUAACUUAUGUGAUUUCAAAAAAAUGGGUUUUAUAAAGUAACAGUAUUUUGUGAUGGGAUAAUGUCAAAAUAUCACAUAUCACUUUGUACACUUGUUCUUGAGCAGCCACUAAAAAUAACAAG